Pecten maximus is the source of this 5392-nucleotide long non-coding RNA. RefSeq lists it as uncharacterized. The transcript has 2 exons. The record is from RefSeq and is a predicted model, not a curated record. Lineage: Eukaryota; Metazoa; Mollusca; Bivalvia; Pectinida; Pectinidae.
GGACACCUUAAACCACUCGGCCACCGCGGCCCACCCAGAGGUGGAGGGCUAGUUAUAAAGUGUCGGGAAAAACUUAACCACUCGGCCACUGCGGCCCCACUGUAACACUGAUCUUAAAACAUGGCUGACGCAGUGGUAACACGUACACCUUCCUUUUACCUCAGCAGUUAUGGUUCGAUUCCCUGAUCUGACAUGAAAAGGUAUGGGGUCGCUUCGUGAACUUAGGUAUGGGGUCUCUUCGUGAACUUAGGUAUGGGGUCGCUUCGUGAACUUAGGUAUGGGGUCUCUUCGUGAACUUAGGUAUGGGGUCGCUUCGUGAACUUAGGUAUGGGGUCUCUUCGUGAACUUAGGUAUGGGGUCUCUUCGUGAACUUAGGUAUGGGGUCUCUUCGUGAACUUAGGUAUGGGGUCGCUUCGUGAACUUAGGUAUGGGGUCUCUUCGUGAACUUAGGUAUGGGGUCUCUUCGUGAACUUAUGUAUGGGGUCUCUUCGUGAACUUAGGUAUGGGGUCGCUUCGUGAACUUAGGUAUGGGGUCUCUUCGUGAACUUAGGUAUGGGGUCUCUUCGUGAACUUAGGUAUGGGGUCUCUUCGUGAACUUAGGUAUGGGGUCGCUUCGUGAACUUAGGUAUGGGGUCUCUUCGUGAACUUAGGUAUGGGGUCGCUUCGUGAACUUAGGUAUCGGGUCUCUUCGUGAACUUAGGUAUGGGGUCUCUUCGUGAACUUAGGUAUGGGGUCUCUUCGUGAACUACUUGUUAACUACCGUAGUAAGACCCCUGGUAUGCUUCCAACUGGGCCAACAAGAGGGCUAUAUCCAAGUUGAUAUAACUUGUUUUACAAUUUUUGUAAAACAUAUAAACAUUUUACUCAGAAUGUCAUGAGAUCUCACCUAUGAUAUUUUGUCCAUUCUGGCAGAUAUUCACCACAGUUAUGUUAGUAUGUUAUUAGCCUGGCAUGAUACAGCUAUUUUCAAUGACAAUUGUUGACAGCUUUGUUUUACCUUUUCUAUGUGACCCAGUUUUUCUGACAUUACAUUGUUUAUCACUGUGAAGACAAGUUGUAUUUAUACAUGGUUAAAUAACUCCUGUUUUGUGGUGUGGAUUUGAUGUGCAUUUAUUUCGGAAUGCGUUUUCCACAUUUUCUCAUGAUGGCUAUUUGUAGCAAGUGUUCAGAAUACACUGUAUAUAGCAGUGCUAGUUGUAAUUGUGAUAUUGCACCAUUUGAUAUGAUAGGUUUGUGUUUAUACCUACACACUGUUUACUUGUGUUCAUAUUGUUUGUACACCACACGUUGAUUGGUAUGGUGCCUAUUUUGUGAAAUUUUAAAAGUGUCAUUAAUAUUGAUUUGAUUGUACAAUGUAUAUGUUGCCUACAUGUAUUUGUAAAACCAAAGCUGUACACAGCUCUGUGACUUGGUUGUAUGCAUACAUUUUAUGUCUGCGACUGAAGCUUGGAAGGUUAUUUUUAAAUUAGUAAAUUUGUCAAGUGCAAAAUUUUGGUGUUAAUUGCAGUAUUUUUUAAAGUAAUAUCCAUUAUUUUCACUUCUAUUAUAGGUUUUGUUCCCCAAACCAAGCACAUGAGGUUGUAAUAGGAUAUAAAAUGUGUAGGCAAAAUAAAUGACUUAAUUUUACCUUAAAAAAAUCUCCUAUUUUGACCCUUGGCAUUAUGUAUGUGUACUGUUUACUUGUAUGUUACACACCCCUAUACAGACUUAACAGGACUACACCAGCCUUCCCAGAUCCUCAUGUAGUGAUAUAACUGUGUCAGGACUACACCAGCCUUCCCAGAUCCUGGUGUAGUGAUACAUUAGCUGUGACAGGACUACACCAGCCUUCCCAGAUCCUGGUGUAGUGAUACAUUAGCUGUGACAGGACUACACCAGCCUUCCCAGAUCCUGGUGUAGUGAUAUAACCGUGACACGACUACACCAGCCUUCCCAGAUCCUGGUAUAGUGAUAUAACUGUGUCAGGACUACACCAGCCUUCCCAGAUCCUGGUGUAGUGAUAUAACCGUGACACGACUACACCAGCCUUCCCAGAUCCUGGUGUAGUGAUAUAACCGUGACAGGACUACACCAGCCUUCCCAGAUCCUGGUGUAGUGAUAUAACUGUGACAGGACUACACCAGCCUUCCCAGAUCCUGGUAUAGUGAUAUAACUGUGACACAACUACACCAGCCUUCCCAGAUCCUGGUAUAGUGAUAUAACCGUGACACGACUACACCAGCCUCCCCAGAUCCUGGUGUAGUGAUAUAACCGUGACACGACUACACCAGCCUUCCCAGAUCCUGAUGUAGUGAUACAUUAGCUGUGACAGGACAACACCAGCCUCCCCAGAUCCUGGUGUAGUGAUGUAACCGUGACACGACUACACCAGCCUUCCCAGAUCCUGAUGUAGUGAUACAUUAGCUGUAACACGACUACACCAGCCUUCCCAGAUCCUGGUGUAGUGAUACAUUAGCUGUAACACGACUACACCAGCCUUCCCAGAUCCUCAUGUAGUGAUAUAACCGUGACACGACUACACCAGCCUUCCCAGAUCCUGGUGUAGUGAUAUAACCGUGACAUGACUACACCAGCCUUCCCAGAUCCUGGUGUAGUGAUAUAACCGUGACACGACUACACCAGCCUUCCCAGAUCCUGGUGUAGUGAUAUAACCGUGACAUGACUACACCAGCCUUCCCAGAUCCUGGUGUAGAGAUAUAACCGUGACACGACUACACCAGCCUUCCAAGAUCCUGGUGUAGUGAUAUAACUGUGACAGGACUACACCAGCCUUCCCAGAUCCUGGUGUAGUGAUACAUUAGCUCUAUGACACGACUGCACCAGCCUUCCCAGAUCUCCUGGUGUAGCGAUACAUUAGCUGUGACAGGACUACACCAACCUUCCCAAAUCCUGGUGUAGUGAUAUAACCGUGACACGACUACACCAACCUUCCCAGAUCCUGGUGUAGUGAUAUAACGGUGACACAACUACACCAGCCUUCCCAGAUCCUGGUGUAGGGAUGGAUAUAGGUGAUAUAUUCCAUUUUGACUCUAUUAACAAAUCUAUUGGGACAUUGUGCAAUUUUCAGAACAAAAUCUGCAUUUCUUCUUUUAUCUGAAGGAUUCUCCUGAUGAAUGGUGUCGGUCCUGAUAAAGAUUUAGAGUUAAUUUCUGUACCGUGGAGACCUGAAGGAUGGUGGCAGUCCUGAUAAAGAUUUAGAUAGUUAAUUUCUGUACCAUAGAGACCUGAUGGAUGGUGUCGGUCCUGAUAAAGAUUUAGAGUUAAUUUCUGUACCGUGGAGACCUGAUGAAUGGUGUCAGUCCUGAUGAAGAUUUAGAUCGUUAAUUUCUGUACCGUAGAGACCUUAUCAGUAUUCACUGCUGACACAAUAUUCAGAAGUAUUAAAUAGGAAACGUUUUCUGUCUGCUCUUCAUUAUAGACAUGCUUAGGAUUAAAACACUUUAAAAUGUUUUGCUGUUUUGACUACAAUGUGAUCUCAAACUAGCUCAGAUAUCAUUGAGGUGUUUUAUUCAAUGAACCGUCUAUGCAUUUUCACAGCUCAUUAUGAUGUAAUGACAGUGUCAGGUUCGUUACAUUACCAGGUACAAUGGUAGUCGAUAAUGAAGAAUAAAUGUUACUCAACAGUAUGUUAUUAUAUACCAGCAGACUUUUUUAUUCCUACAUAUCAUGUAAAAAAAAUGAAAAAAAAAUCUGCCUCUUUUUCAUUUUUUGGGGUUUUUUUUAACAGAUAUUUCUAUAUACAUGUAUAUAUAUAUAAAAAGACAAAAAUCGUGUUUCAAAACAAAUACUCCAACUUAAAAUGGAGUUGUAAUGUCUUCCCACCAUAAACUAAAACACUGAUACUGAUACAGUUGUAUAUUUGGUUUACUGGAGUGUUUUUAUUUGCAUGAGGUAUUGAUUCUUGCAUACUGGAUACAGUGAAAAGGUUAUACAGUUCUGUAAAGGGUUAUCUCCCCUCACCUGUGUAAAAUGAAUUAAAUCAGAUACGUUUUGUACGGCAUCAGGGGAAAUAUUUGAUCAGAUCUGUUUUGUACGACAUUAGGGGAGAUAUUUUGUCAGAUCCAUUUUGGAAAACAUUAGGGGAUCUAUUUUAUCAUAUAUCAAAGAUGGAUAAUCAUGAUAAAAAACAAUGCAAGCACAGAAAGUAAGAUAAUUGUGAGAAUGUCCACUAAUCUGGUACUGUAAGAUAAUUAUGGGAAUGCCCUCUAAUUUGGUACUGUAAGAUGAUUAUGAGAAUGUCCACUAAUCUGGUACUGUAAGAUAAUUAUGAGAAUGCCCUCUAAUCUGGUACUGUAAGAUAAUUAUGAGAAUGCCCUCUAAUCUGGUACUGUAAGAUAAUUGUGAGAAUGCCUCUAAUCUGAUACAGUAAGAUAAUUAUGAGAAUGUCCACUAAUCUGGUACUGUAAGAUAAUUAUGAGAAUGUCCUCUAAUCUGGUACUGUAAGAUAAUUAUGAGAAUGUCCACUAAUCUGGUACUGUAAGAUAAUUAUGAGAAUGCCCUCUAAUCUGGUACUGUAAGAUAAUUAUGAGAAUGCCCUCUAAUCUGAUACAGUAAGAUAAUUAUGAGAAUGCCCUCUAAUCUGGUACUGUAAGAUAAUUAUGAGAAUGCCCUCUAAUUUGGUACUGCAAGAUAAUUAUGAGAAUGUCCACUAAUCUGAUACAGUAAGAUAAUUAUGAGAAUGCCCUCUAAUCUGGUACUGUAAGAUGAUUAUGAGAAUGCCCUCUAAUUUGGUACUGUAAGAUAAUUAUGAGAAUGCCCUCUAAUCUGGUACAGUAAGAUAAUUAUGAGAAUGCCCUCUAAUCUGAUACAGUAAGAUGAUUAUGAGAAUGCCCUCUAAUCUGGUACUGUAAGAUGAUUAUGAGAAUGCCCACUAAUCUGGUACUGUAAGAUGAUUAUGAGAAUGCCCUCUAAUCUGGUACAGUAAGAUAAUUAUGAGAAUGCCCUCUAAUCUGGUACAGUAAGAUAAUUAUGAGAAUGCCCUCUAAUCUGAUACAGUAAGAUAAUUAUGAGAAUGCCCUCCAAUUUGGUACUGUAAGAUAAUUAUGAGAAUGCCCUCUAAUUUGGUACUGUAAGAUAAUUAUGAGAAUGCCCUCUAUUCUGGUACUGUGUUGGCUAUGCUAUCAGGUCUAGGCAUUACAGGUGAAUUUGUAUGGGGUACUUAUUAUAUAAUAAAUAAAAUGAUGAUAUACUUUAAUGUGAGGUGGCAGACCAGGGAGACAGAUCUAUAACGAGAUUACAAGUACACUGAUAAUCUGUACUGCGGUACCAGUUGUCAGUAUCAAAGAUUCUAAGGUUUCAUUUUUUACCAGCUAUUUUUCAGACACAAUGUGUCCUUAUACCUGUUGUAUCACUUGUCAAUCUUAUGUACAUGCAUUAAAACAUUUAAAAGUCA